AGACACGAAACAGGUAUCGACCUCUAAAUC
Molecule: small RNA, 30 nt
Filed under: Bombyx mori (domestic silkworm)
Lineage: Eukaryota; Metazoa; Arthropoda; Insecta; Lepidoptera; Bombycidae
Description: ovarian small RNA-11815
Source: RNAcentral